AUAAGAACGUAGCGAAAUGCGAUACUUGGUGUGAAUUGCAGAAUCCCGUGAACCAUCGAGUCUUUGAACGCAAGUUGCGCCCGAAGCCGUCAGGCCGAGGGCACGCCUGCCUGGGCGUCACACGCCGUUGCCCCCCCGCGCCCCGCACCCAACUCUUUGGGAGCGACCGCGGGGCGGGCUGAUGAUGGCCUCCCGUGCGCUCCGCCGCGCGGUUGGCCCAAAUACCGAGUCCCCGGCGACGUGCGCCACGACGAUCGGUGGUUGAGAGACCUCUGUCGCAAGUCGUGCGCGCCCGUCGCGUCACGCGGGCUCGCAUAGCGCCUCGCGCCGCACCCGGUGCGGAGCUUUCAACGCGACCCCAGGUCAGGCGGGGUUACCCGCUGAAUUUAAGCAUAUCAAUAAGCGGAGGA
This 410-nucleotide unclassified non-coding RNA is filed under the name soil metagenome. Its description in RNAcentral is "partial contains 5.8S ribosomal RNA, internal transcribed spacer 2, and large subunit ribosomal RNA". The stretch from base 3 to 120 matches the Rfam family "5.8S ribosomal RNA", at positions 39 to 154 of the family's 154-position model. The record is from RNAcentral.